RNAcentral lists this ribosomal RNA (469 nucleotides) under uncultured Glomus. RNAcentral describes it as "SSU rRNA". It matches the Rfam family "Eukaryotic small subunit ribosomal RNA", at positions 569 to 1041 of the family's 1831-position model. Lineage: Eukaryota; Fungi; Glomeromycota; Glomeromycetes; Glomerales; Glomeraceae. The record is from RNAcentral.
AGCAGCCGCGGUAAUUCCAGCUCCAAUAGCGUAUAUUAAAGUUGUUGCAGUUAAAAAGCUCGUAGUUGAAUUUCGGGAUCAGUACGCUGGUCGUGCCUUUGGUAUGUACUGGUGUCACUGAUUCCUCCCUUCUGAAGAACCGUUAUGCCAUUUAUUUGGUGUGGCGGGGAAUCAGGACUGUUACUUUGAAAAAAUUAGAGUGUUUAAAGCAGGCUCGCGCUUGAAUACAUUAGCAUGGAAUAAUGAAAUAGGACGUUUGAUCUUAUUUUGUUGGUUUCUAGGAUCGACGUAAUGAUUAAUAGGGAUAGUUGGGGGCAUUAGUAUUCAAUUGUCAGAGGUGAAAUUCUUGGAUUUUAUUGAAGACUAACUACUGCGAAAGCAUUUGCCAAGGAUGUUUUCAUUAAUCAAGAACGAAAGUUAGGGGAUCGAAGACGAUCAGAUACCGUCGUAGUCUUAACCAUAAACUAUG